CGCGCAAGGGACAUGCCAGGCUCCCGGGACUCGGCGGGUAGUUUGCAAGUAGCAGUGUAUUUGUCGUGCCUGCUCCUCGGAGCCGGGAAAACGCUGGUAGCUCUCGCCAGGACACCAGAAGAGACUCCUGCGGCUCUCCGGCUGUCUCGGAACCGUAGGUCCACAAAAGACACGCUGGUUUCCCCGAGCAGGGAUCGGCAGGCACUCAUUACAUGCUUUUUGAGUAGACAAGCGACCAUGAGCGUGAAUUCCACUGGAGAAGAAGGCCUACAGGGGAGGAGUGUUAUUAAAAAAAACCGUCAAAUUCAAGUAUGAGUUGGGGAAGGCCUACGUAGCCUCACACCAGGAACUAAAAUAGAUAACAUGGUGUAUACUUGAAGGUGGACCCCGUAAACUAUGAGUCCUGAAAGCAAAAAGGAUUUUUUGGACGGAAGCCCGCCCCACACUCCACCCCGCGCUCCCAGUGUGUGCACACGAAUACUCUCCACCCAGUUAAAUCCCCCAAAGGUCCGCCUAUUCUCCAUCUGAGGCCCGACCACGGACCACUUAGAGCUUUUUUGCAUUCUUCUUCCAGCCAAACUCCCACAGUAAGAAUGUGGUUACAGGGGACGUUAACACAGCGAUUCAAGACUUAAGACAAAGGUUCCUGGUGUCUUAACGGGAUUCAUACCAUUGCCCCCUGGGAGGAGGCUGUCCCCUGCUUGCUGGUCAGAGGCACACUGCAGCCUGUGAACUUAGCCUAUUCAGGAACUCUCCUGCAGGCACACCCUGUGCCCAGCCUACAGUGCCCAGGUCACACUUCUCCUGGAGGAGGCCUUGAUAUGCUGUUGCCUGUCUGUGAGACACAGCAUGUCUAACGGCAGUGCAGACACAAACCAAGACGCUGAAGAUAAUGUGGCCAGACAGACUCUCUGGCUGUUUAAACGCUGUGGUUUGUGGGCCCUUGAUUCUCCCCUUGCCAGUGCAGCAGAAGACCCUCGCAGGGGACAGAGACUUGAGUGGGAAUUACACAAUUGUGUAAAGUGGAGGCCGAGAUUGAAGGUGAGGAUGCACCAUGGAGAGGAGCUAGAAGAGGAAUAGUGCACCCACCCAAUGAAUGCCAACAACGUUUAGACAUCCAGGAUCUCUUGUAGCAUUUGGAGGGGCAGAUAUUUCUGAGGACACCCAGUACAGAAUCCAGUCAAGCAUAGGAGCUCUGAGGAGUGCCUGUCUUGGAGGCCAGGACUCAUCCAGGCCCAUCAGGAACACACACACUGGACAGGUGCAGGGUAGCCUUGUCCACUUGGAGGAUAUCAACACGGGAGUCCACACUUUCCUGGGAAUUCCCUUUGCCAAGCCACCUGUAGGACCUCUGCGGUUUGCUCCUCCUAAGCCCCCUGAACCAUGGAGUGGUGUGAGGGAUGGAACUUCCCAUCCUGCCAUGUGUCUACAGAAUAUCAGUGUAUUGAGUGCAUUAGCCCAGACCCCAUUCACAAGCACCCCACCUCUUCUUUCUAUGUCUGAAGACUGCCUGUACCUCAACAUCUACUCACCUGUUCAUGCUUCUGAGGACUCCAACCUCCCUGUGAUGGUAUGGAUCCAUGGUGGAGGACUGGUUCUGGGCAUGGCUUCUAUGUAUGAUGGAUCGAAGCUAGCAGCCAUUGAGGACAUAGUGGUGGUCACUAUCCAGUACCGCCUGGGUAUCCUGGGUUACUUCAGCACUGGGGAUGAGCAUGCCAGAGGCAACUGGGGCUACCUGGACCAAGUGGCCGCCCUGCGCUGGGUCCAGCAGAACAUCGCCCACUUUGGAGGCAACCCUGACCAGGUCACUAUUUUCGGCGAGUCAGCAGGUGGCGCAAGCGUGUCUUCACUUGUUUUGUCCCCAAUGUCCAAAGGACUCUUCCACAGAGCCGUUAUGCAGAGUGGAGUGGCCCUGCUGCCUGGUCUCGUCUCCCAGUCUGCUGAGGUGGUCUACACAAUGGUGGCCAACCUCUCUGGAUGUAAUCAGAUGGAUUCAGAGUCCCUGGUGGGCUGUCUGAGAGGCAAGAGUGAAGAGGAGAUUCUGGAUAUCACCAAGGUCUUCAAGAUCAUCCCUGCUGUGGUGGAUGGAGAGUUCUUUCCCAGGCAUCCUGAGGAGCUGUUGGUCUCCGCUGAUUUUAGACCUGUCCCCAGCAUCAUAGGUGUCAACAAUGAUGAGUAUGGCUGGGACAUCCCAACUUACCUGUGCAACAUUGAUACUGGGGAAAAAGUGGACAGAGAGACCAUUCAGGCUGUUCUACAGAGCACACCAACAAAACUGAUGAUGCCUCCUGAUUCUGCUGACAUUCUGGUAGAGGAGUAUUUGGGAGACACUGAAGACCCUGAGAUUCUCCUAGCACAGUUCAAGGAGAUGAUGGAAGACUCCGUAUUUGUGGCCCCUGCCUUGCAAGUAGCACAUGCUCAGAGUCCUCUUGCCCCUGUCUACUUCUACGAGUUCCAACACUCACCCAGCUUCUUCAAAGAUGUCAGACCAUCUCAUGUGAAGGCUGACCAUGGUGAUGAGGUUUUCUUUGUCUUUGGAUCCUCCUACUGGGGCAGCAAAUUUGACUUCACUGAGGAGGAGGAGCUGCUGAGCAGGAAGAUAAUGAAGUACUGGGCCAACUUUGCAAGACAUGGGAACCCCAACAGCAUGGACCUGCCCCACUGGCCUGUGUUUACCCAGGAUGAGCAGUACCUGCAGCUGGACAUCCAGACUACUGUGGGCUAUGCUCUGAAGGCCAGCAGGAUGCAGUUCUGGACCAAGACUCUGCCUCAGAAGAUCCAGCAGCUGAAGGAUGUUGAGAACAAGCACGCAGAGCUAUAGCAUGUUAUGCACCAUAGUGGAGUGUCCUGAGUAGAAGUGGAGUCAACCUGAGGAUAUUCAAGAUGCCAUGAGAAAAUCAUAAUAAGCUGCAAGCUGAGUGUUGUGACAGAUGUGUGGCCCCACUACCAGCAAGACUGAGGUGGAGGAUCUAAUGAACUCAGAAAUGCAAAGGUAACUCAUUCUAAAUAUUGACACUAUAUGUAAAUAUAUAAUAACUAUACAGAUGAGUAUGUAUAUCACUAUGUAUUUAAGUAUGUAUCAUAAACAGUAUGGCUUAUAAACAAUAGAAAUUGGUUUCUAGAUUUGGUAAUCAUGAAGUUCAGGGUUAGAAAGCCAUUAGAUUUGGCAUAUGGAGAGGGGUAACUCUCUGACUCAAAGUUUGCCCCUUAUGUCCUCCUUGAGUAAAAUAGACAAACAAUGGUGUUAAUAGCCUGGCCAUUACCUAGUGGAUCCAAUCUUAUAAUCAUGACAUUGGAUAUCAGGCUACAACAUACAAGUCUGAGCCACAAAACCUUUCAGAAUAUAGCAUUAAUGUCCUCACAUCAGCCAGCAAGUUUGCCAACAACUGAAAACCUCAUUGUCUGUUGUCUCCAUAAUUUGUCACAAAUGAUCGAUGCUGUAACAAUUCAAUUUAUUUUUGUCCUCAAAUGGGGAAAGGAACUUUUUUUUUCAAGUGAGAUACAUGUCUUGGCAUGUUCAUUUGUGUUUUGAUCCUGGGAAAGUGUGUGUGUGUGUGUGACAAGAAGAACCACUUUAGUUCCUUGCUGUCUGCUUCCAUCAAGGUUUAUUUUUAUUCCAAGGGCUCUACAAAUGUGAUGAGACCCUAUUUGCAUGAUCACAGCAUAGAUCUGUGAAGAUGUUUGACUGUGGGUUGUGUAGUGGGGUAUGAACUGUUCAGCAGAAAAAAUGGUCUGCCUGAUCACUGCAUGGAGGGCCCUUUGGCCUUUCUCAGUUCCAGGCUACUUCUUGCUUUCUUCUGGAACUCAAAUUCUCUUUGGUCCUCUAGAUCAUUAUUAUUUUUUCUUUUUUUUUGUGGGUUUUAAAAAUAUUUAUCUAUUUAUUUAUUUAUUUGUUUGUUUGUUUGUUUUUUCCGAGACAGGGUUUCUCUGUAUAGUUUUGGUGCCUGUCCUGGAUCUUGUUCUGUAGACCAGGCUGGCCUCAAACUCAUAGAGAUCCACCUGGCUCUGCCUCCCGAGCGCUGGGAUUAAAGUUGCGUGCCAUCACUGCCCAGUUUGUGUGUUUUUUAAAAAUGUUUCUUUUUUACUUAAGAAAUUUUAAAAAUUCAUUUUACAGACCAAUCACAGUUUCCCCUCUCAUCCUUCCUCCCACUCCCCUAUGGCUUUCCCUCACCCAACCCACUCCCUAUCUCUCCUCCAAAAAGGUAAGGCUUCCUGUGGGGAGUCAGCAAAGCCUGGUACAUUCAGUUGAGGCAGGAUCAAGCUCCUUUCCCCUGAAUCAAGGCUGUGCAAGGUGUCCUACCAUAGGUAAUGAGCUCCAAAAAGCUCAUACACCAGGGAUGGAUCCUGUUCCCAGUGCCAGGGUCCCUCAAACAGACCAAACUACACAACUGUCUCCCUCAUGCAAAGGGCCUACCUGGGCCCAUGCUGGUUCCACAGCUGUUGGUCUAGAGUUUGUGAAUUCCUACGAGAUUGGUUCAGUAGGCUCUGGAGAUUUUGCAAUUAUGAUCUUGACACCUGUCACCCCCCCUGUUCAUAUAAUCCCUCUUUCUUCUCUUCAGCUGGACUCCUGGAGUUCAGCCUGGUGCUUGGCUGUGGCUCUCUGCAUCUGAUUCCAUCACUGGAUGAAGGCUCUAUGAUGACAGUUCAGGUAUUCACCUAUCUGGUAACCAGGGUAGGCCAGCUCAGGUACCCUCUCUAUAUUGCCAGUAGUCUAAGCUGGGGUCAUUCUUGUGGAUUCCUGGGAACUACUCUAGCACCAGGUUUGACUCUAUCCCAAUGAUGUCUCCUUCUAUCAAGAAAUCUCUCUCAUUGCUCUCCCACUCCAUCUCUCCCCCAGCUUGACCAUCUUGUUCCCUUAAUUUCUCAUCCCCCAUCCUCUCCCCUCUUUUCCCCCUGUCACCCCCAGUUUACUCAUGGAGAUCUCACCUUAUUUCCCCUUCCCAAAGUGAUCCAUGCAUCCUUCUUAGGGUCCUCCUUGUUAGCUAGCAUCUCUGGAGCUGUGGGUUGUAGUCUGGUUAUCCUUUGCUUUACAUCUAGUAUCCACUUAUGAGCGAGUACAUACCAUGUUUGUCUUUCUGAUUUUGAGUUACCUCACUCAGGAUGAUAUUUUCUAGUUCCAUCUAUUUGCCUGCAAAUUUUAUGAUGUCUGUUGCUAUAAGAAGGGUCAAGCAUCAGUGAUGCUUCAGUAAGUUACAUGGACAGAGAUGCCAUCCAUACUGUGAAGAUGUUUGACUGUGGGUGUCUGAAAUGAGGAUGGAGAUUUCAGGAGGCCCAGACAUGUCCAUCAGAAGAGAUUGCUUUCCUCUGUCUCCCUGAGCAUCUAUUCAUCUAUUGAGGGCCCUUCUGCCUUUUACAGUUCCCUGCACACUUCUGGUUCCUGUGACACUCUAUUCUCUGUGGUCUUCCCAUCCUUAAUUUCCAUUCUUACCUUAUUUUCACUUUAAGUUUUUUAUUUAUCCUCUAAACAAAACAAAACUUCCCACUUCAAUUUUGUCUUUAUAUAAAAGUGCCAAAUCAUGUUGUCUGCAAGUGUUUUCCUAAAACAUUUUAUCUCUGUCAUCACACAGAUUGUUCCUCUUCCUAUAGAGCUGAGAUGGCCAUAGCCUCUUGCCUCUGAGAAACUGCCUUUCUGGGGUUCUAGUUUUCCCAGGUACUCCAAGUCCCUCUUUUUCAUCCACUGUUUUGAAGACCAAUCACAGGAAAUCAUGAAGUGACAACUCUUGCAUUGCUCUCCUUGGACACUAGAGGGCAGACAAAGAUAAAGUUCCAUAAGGUGCUAGAUGAUCUCUGAGCACAGGAAGACAACUGCCUGAUAGAUCUGCUGGAGCCUGAAUUUACUGCUGGUUGCAAGGACAUUUCAGCAGAUGAACAGGGCACUUCACUAAGAGUGUUAGCUGCCAACAUCAUCAUCAUCAUCAUCAUCAUCAUCAUCAUCAUCAUCAGUUAGAAAUAUACAUAUAGCAGAGAGGAAAACUAAAACCAUAUGUGGCUAACAUAGCUAUGAACCUGUGGGGUCGAGACUUGUUGCAACAACGGAAUACUCAGAUUAACAUCCCUCCAGUCUCAGAAACAAAUCAUAAACUAGUACAUGUUUCUGAGAGAAAUAUUAGAAGAUAUUAUUCUAAAGAGUGGUCACCAGCCAUCCAUGUUAUACAAGAACAGGGCACAACAACUGAUGAUCUUCCAAAACCACCAACAACUCUACCUUUAAAAUGGUCAACAGACAAGCCUGUAUGGGUUCAGCAAUGGCCUUUAACAACAGAGAAACUCCAGGCUUUAGAAGAGCUGGUAGAAGAACAGUUAAAUGCUCAGCAUAUUGAAGAAUCAAUCAGCCCUUGGAAUUUUCCUGUAUUUGUUAUUAAAAAGAAAUCUGGUAAAUGAAGAAUGGUAACAGACCUUAGAACAAUUAACAAAGUAAUUCAGUCAAUGGGCUCUCUAAAAUCUGGAAUUCCUUUGCCUACUCUGUUACCAAAAGGAUGGCCUCUCAUAGUUAUUGAUUUAAAAGACUGUUUCUUUCUUUCUUUCUUUUUUUUUUUGGUUUUUUGAGACAGAGUUUCUCUGUGUAGCUUUGCGUCUUUCCUGGAUCUCACUCUGUAGACCAGGCUGGCCUCGAACUCGCAGAGAUCCACCUGCCUCUGCCUCCCAAGUGCUGGGAUUAAAGGCAUGUGCCACCACCGCCUGGCAAGACUGUUUCUUUUCAAUACCCUUACAAGAAAAUGACAGAGAAAGAUUUGCUUUCACAGUGCCUACUUAUAAUAAUUCUCAACUGGUUAAAAGAUUUCAAUGGAGGGUCCUCCCACAGGGAAUGUUGAAUAGCCCAACUCUGUGCCAAUAUUUUGUACAACAGCCAUUGGAAGUGGUACGUAAAAAAUUUCCUAAAUCUAUACUUUAUCAUUAUAUGGAUGAUACUUUACUAGCUGACUCAAAUGCAGAUACUUUAGAAAGAAUGUUUGAAGAAGUAAAGAAAAUUUUGCCUUGCUAGGGAUUACAAAUUGCUCCUGAAAAGAUACAAAGAGGAGAUUCUAUUAAUUAUUUAGGAUAUAAAAUAGAGCUACAAAAAAUUAGACCCCAAAAGGUGCAAAUUAGGAGAGAUAGACUACAGACUCUUAAUGACUUUCAAAGAUUAUUUGGAGACAUUUCUCAUCUAAGAACUAUUGUUGGGGUAAAAAAUGAUGAACUGAAUAAUUUGUUUAAAAUCUUAGAAGGUGACAAGGACUUAAAUAGUCCAAGAGAAUUAUCACCUGAAGCUGAGAAAGAAUUGGCCUUGGUAGAAAAGAAAGUACAUGAUGGGCACGUGGAUCAUAUUGAUCCAAAGCUGGAUUGCAUUUUGGUUAUUUUACCUUCUAGACAUUCUCCUACAGGAAUAUUAAUGCAGAGGGAAGAUAUUAUAUUGGAAUGAUAUUUUUACCAAAUAAACCAAAUAAAAAAUUAAAAACUGAUGUGGAAAAAAUCUCUGACUUGAUUUGGAAAGGAAAAUUGAGACUUCGUCAAAUAGCAGGAAUAGACCCAGCAGAAAUUGUCAUACCUUUAACUAAGGAGGACAUUGAAAAAUUAUGGACAGAAAGUGAACCUUGGCAAAAACCUUGCAGUAAUUUUUUGGGAGAAAUUAACAGCAAAUAUCCCAGAAGUGAUAGAAUUGAUCUUAUAAAGAGAGCUGAUUGGAUCUUGCCUCGAAUUGUAUGGGAAAAACCCAUAUCUGGAGUUUGUACAUUUUAUACAGAUGCCAACAAACAAGGAAAGGCAGGUUACAAAUCAGAAAAUUGAAGUAAAGUGGUUCAAAGUCCUAAUAAUUCAGUUCAAAAAUCAGAAUUGUAUGCUAUUCUGUUGGUAUUAAUGGAUUUUUCAGAACCUCUCAACGUAAUAACUGACUCUCAGUAUACUGAAAGAGUAGUAUUACAUAUUGAGACUGCAUAAUUUAUCCCUGAUGCUUCAGAAUUAACUUCACUAUUUAUUCAAUUACAAGGUACAAUCAGGAAAAGGAGUCAUCCUUUAUAUAUAACUCACAUUCGAUCCCAUACUGGUCUGCCAGGCCCUCUAGCACAAGGCAAUGAUGAGAUUGAUAAAUUAUUGAUAGGAAAUGUGCUGGAGGCCUCAGAAUUUCAUAAAAAAAUCAUGUCAAUAGUAAAGGUUUAAAAAAGGAUUUUUCCAUAACCUGGCAACAAGCCAAAGAAAUAGUAAAGAAGUGUCCUACUUGUUCCUUCCACAAUCAAACGCAAUUACCAGCAGGAUGUAACCCAAAGGGUACUCAGAGGAAUGAAAUCUGGCAGAUGGACGUGUUUCACUUUGCAGAAUUUGGAAAAUUGAAAUAUGUACAUCAUACCAUCGAUACUUAUUCAGGAUUUCAAUGGGCAACUGCUUUGAGUUCUGAAAAAGCUGAUUCUGUAAUCACUCAUUUGCUAGAAGUUAUGGCCAACAUGGGUAUACCUGCACAAAUCAAAACUGACAAUGCUCCGUCAUAUGUCUCUGUUAAAAUGAAACAGUUUUUUGCUUAUUACAAUAUAAAGCAUAUUACAGGUAUACCACAUAAUCCUAUAGGUCAAGCAGUUAUAGAAAGAUCAAACAGAACUCUAAAGGAUAUGCUAAAUAAACAGAGCGGGGUAACAAAAACCCCCAGAAAUAGACUACAUAAUGCUCUAUUAACUUUGAAUUUUCUCAAUGCCAAUGAGAAAGGAACAACAGCUGCAGAGAGACAUUGGAUAAUAGGAAAAACUACAGAAUUAAAUCAGCCUAUAUACUUUAAGGAUGUGCUGACCUCAGAAUGGAAACCAGGGUAUGUGUUACAUUGAGGACGAGGUUUUGCUUUUGUUUCUACAGAAGAAGAUAAGCUGUGGGUACCAUCAAAAUUGAUAAAGGUUCGAUUUGAACAAGAGAAACCUCUUAAUUAGAGGAGGUGAAAGUUCAUCAACCAGCAUGAACAUCCAAUUUAAACUAACUUACACCAGUAACACAUGCCUUUUCAUUUAAUCAGAUAAUAACUUGCCAAAAAGGAACAUCCCCAAAAAACCUUGGGGAACGGUUUUUGUUUUUGUCUUUUAGGAGAAUGAAGGUUAAGGAAUCUGAAGAGCACUGGACAAAUGAGACAACUGAAGAAAAGGGACAAAUCAUCUAUCCCAGGAAACAGAGUGAAAUGGCAUAUGGGUAUAUCAUCUAAAAAAUUUUAUGUCUUCCUAAAUGUAUGUUUCUGCUUUUCUCUAAAGAUUUAACACUAUUGGUCUUCUAAUAGUCCCAGUUCAAUUAAAAUUUAAAGCUGACUUUGGAGUUGGAGAAUGGCUCUCUCCUUCUUUAAACUCAAGCAUGUUGUUAAAAGGAAAAUGCAAACUCCUUGUAUCAUGCCAGAAGAAAAGAGCCAUCUUCUGCUAUGGGACAGGAGAAAAGCCAAAUUAAUUAAGGGACUAUUCUAUUACUAAUCUCAACUCUUUGAUUCUAUUCUGAUUCUUUAAACUUUCCUUAGAGUAUGAAUUUUAUAUCAAAAUUUACAAGAUUUAUAUAUAUAUAUAUAUAUAUAUAUAUUAAACUUUGUUAAGAUAUGGUCAUAUAGAGUACUAAUAAUUCUAGAAAGAAAAAAGGCUUCAAUUAGCUGCAUAUAUAUGUCUUUGUGUUCAAGUCUCUUAUCAGUUUUCUGCAGGAAAUCACGGCCAGGCCUAACAUCCACUGAAGUCUCCAGGAAGAAGAUGGGGCCCCACAACAACAACAAUUCCACAUGGACAAUAAUAACAUCACUAAUCUGACAAACAUCAUCUAUAGAUCAGCUUUGAACUACAAAGUGCUCAGAGCAAUUUUGAGAGGGCUAGCUGAAAUGAUGGAGUCUCAAAGACUACUUGAAUAAGGAUUUGAGAUAAACCCUGAACUUUGGCAUUAUACACAGACUGGAUAAUGAAGGAUAUAGUACCUUUCCUAGAAUUUGACAAUUAACCUGAAAUUUUUCUUUUCAGGAUAAAGAUACCUUUGCCCACACCCAGCAGGAAGCAAUUUUAAGAAUACGACGCCCACAUUCCCAAAGAGGUGGUGUGGAGCGGGUGGUUUUUUUGGUCUUUUGAUGGGUUUUGGGUCUGGGAUAAUUUUCAUUGAUUAGGGGGGUUGGUUACAAGUUGUUGUCAAGGGUUAGGAAAAGGGCUAAGCAAAAGAGAUUACAUUUAAGGUUCAUGUUUAAAAAAGAAAAGAAAAAGACAAUUACUAGUUUUAAAUACUUCACAUUGGAUUGGAUUGUUUUAUAUUGUAUACAAUAUAUAUAUAUAUAUAUAUUGAAAUUGAUAUUGUUAGAAAAUGCUAUAUGUAUAAUUCUAACUGUAUUUAUACCGCUCAUUUAACAAUGUAAUACAAUUUUCUGAUCCUUUCUGUUAUUAUUACCAACUAUUAGGAUAUAAAGAAAUGAAAGUUAGUAGCUAGAGAUUAUAAUAGAACUUGUAGUCAUAUUAGGUAUGUUUUCAAGAUUGAGCAGAGCAGAUAUAUUUUAGAUAGACAGGUCAUCUUCAAACCCUUCAGAGAUCUACAGAAUAUGGCAUUUAAAAUGUUUUAAUAACUUAGAAAUUUUUCUUUUUUGUUAUGACUAUGAGAUAUGCUCCUGGCAGUCCAAUCUACUUCAGAGAAAAUAUGGGCAUUGAAAAAACUGCAAUUGGAGUUAACUUUCAUUGUGGCAAAAGUUAGCCAUUGGACAACAAAGUAUCCUUGAAUCAACUGCUGACAAACAGGACAGACAGGACACGAAACAAAGGACUACUGAUUCUUGCCAAAACAAGUGUGGUUAUGGCUUUAUUAAAAGGCAUCUUCUGAGGCCAGGACAAUAUGGCACCAUCCCUGAAGUGGCCUUCACAAUCCGGAAAAGGUACAGUGCCCUUUUCUUCGAAGGCAGCUGAACAGGCAGUGGGCCAAUGGUUUCUGAUGUGCAAUGGAACAGCAGCUGAAACAGUUAUUCUUGAGUUAUUCUUGAAGAGUAAUUAAGCUCACGCCUCUUAAUAGUAGAAUGGUAUUUAAUAGAGGGAUGUGGAGAAGAAUGGGAUGCUGAGAUGAAGCCACAUACACACAUAGCCAAGAAGAAUGGACAGCUGAAUUCAAAAAACAUCAACAAUUUCCAGAAUUUAAAAUCCUGAAUCAUGACAUGACACUAGUGGAAUUCAGGUGUUUCUGGUAUAUAGACUGCUCUCACCCAAUGUGAGGUUGAACUGUUGACCUUGUGUACAUCCUACCUCACAAAUGAGUCUGUCAGAUACGCUAAGCCUAUAGGCUGAAGAUGAUGCCCCAACACUGCGGAGAAACCUCAGCUGACUGUCCAAGCAGCUGGCUGUUUCUGUCAAUUCACAAUUUUUUGGAAGUUGCUUGCAUGUACUUCCUGUUUUUAUUUUUGUUAGCUAAUAUUAUUUCCUUCUUGGGUCUCUGAGGGAGUUGAAGAUUAGUUAGUUAUAGUUGAAGAUUAAUUAGGAUAGAAAGUGAAUUAGAUACAAUAGGAUAUAUAAUGGAAUUAUUUUCUCUGAAUUUGUCAAAUACAAAUGGACUAGACAUUGUUUAGGUAUUUAUUACUUCUAUAUAUUGUAUAUAGUUAUUGUACUUUUGUAUAUAGUUUUCUUAUGUUAGUUAUAAGCUUUUUCCUUUUUUCUUUUUAUUAAAAUAGAAAAGGGGAAAUAUGGUGAUAUUUUAUUUGUACUAAAAUGUUAUUUGUAUGUUAAUAAAUAAAGUUCCCCGGGGGUCAGAGCUAUUAGCAAGCCAUAGGAAAGCCAGGCGGUGGUGGCACAUGCUUUUAAUCCCAGCACUUGGUUGGCAGAGCUAGGUAAGUCUCUGUGUGUUCAGGGAUACAGCCAGCAUUGGAUACACAUGCCUUUAAUCUUAAUACCAACCAUAGAAGACCUGGAGGUCUGUACAGACAGGCAGUGAAGAGGCGAUCAUGUGGUUGGGUUUACAACCAAUGAGAAGGCAGAACAGAAAGUCUAGAUAAAGACUUUAACACAGGAAGUAGCUCUCUUUUGGAGAGGUAGGACUACCGCAGGAGGAAGGGUAAGAUUUUAGCUCUUAGCUCUGACCUCUUAGCUUUCUUCUUUGCA
This is an RNA transcript of Peromyscus californicus insignis, 12032 nucleotides long. It is a transcript of the gene named acylcarnitine hydrolase-like, with no coding region annotated. The record is from RefSeq and is a predicted model, not a curated record. NCBI's taxonomy places the organism in Eukaryota, Metazoa, Chordata, Mammalia, Rodentia, Cricetidae. The transcript is spliced from 13 exons.